CCUAUCAGAAUAGUUUUUCAUUAGCAAAGAUUAAUCAUUGUGUACAGAUAUAUAUAUAUUAAAUUCUCUUCUGUAUCCUACCUCAACAACUUCUCAUCUACAACAGUGAUCUAUCUAUCUUGCGAAGUAUCGUGCACCUUUUUAUUUAUGCAUUAUGUGCUUCACUGUGAGUGAUUACAGUUAUUUUUAUGAACUGUUGAAAUUUUCCUGUAUCACAAAUUCAAAUUGAGG
Molecule: non-coding RNA, 231 nt
Organism: Cinara cedri
Lineage: Eukaryota; Metazoa; Arthropoda; Insecta; Hemiptera; Aphididae
Source: the annotation of a GenBank genome assembly